UGGGGAAUAUUGCACAAUGGGCGCAAGCCUGAUGCAGCCAUGCCGCGUGUGUGAAGAAGGCCUUCGGGUUGUAAAGCACUUUCAGCGGGGAGGAAGGCGAUAAGGUUAAUAACCUCAUCGAUUGACGUUACCCGCAGUAGAAGCACCGGCUAACUCCGUUCCAGCAGCCGCGGUAAUACGGAGGGUGCCAGCGUUAAUCGGAAUUACUGGGCGUAAAGCGCACGCAGGCGGUCUGUCAAGUAGGAUGUGAAAUCCCCGGGCUCAACCUGGGAACUGAAUCUGAUACUGGCAAGCUUGAGUCUCGUAGAGGGGGGUAGAAUUCCAGGUGUAGCGGUGAAAUGCGUAGAGAUCGGGAGGAAUACCGGUGGCGAAGGCGGCCCCCUGGACGAAGACUGACGCUCAGGUGCGAAAGCGUGGGGAGCAAACAGG
RNAcentral lists this ribosomal RNA (429 nucleotides) under Chloroflexota bacterium. Its description in RNAcentral is "Chloroflexi bacterium partial 16S ribosomal RNA". It matches the Rfam family "Bacterial small subunit ribosomal RNA", at positions 355 to 776 of the family's 1533-position model. The record is from RNAcentral. Lineage: Bacteria; Bacillati; Chloroflexota.